CAAUAGAAAUAGUUGGAAUGUGAGUGCUUUGUGUUUGCAUGUUUGACAGGUUGAAAGAAGGAAGAGACACCUUUGCUCUGGGUCCUUGAAGUUCCUUGGAGAGGGCAGGACCAAGAGCAUCUCAGUGACAAACAUAAUGGACUGAAAUCCAGGGUCCCUCUGCAAUUUUCCAGCACUGUAUUGGUUCUAAUUUUGAAGUACACAGAUGAAGAUAAAGAUACACUGGAGAGGAAAACAUUUUUCCCAGAGAAGCAGAACGGAGAGUGUGAAGUGCUAAAGACCCAGAAAAGGGAUGAUGAUUAGAAUUUCAGGUAUUCUUGAGCUGUUGGAUCAAUUGAAAAUGCAUGAGUUUUUCAAUUUUUACAGAAUACUGUAAGUGAAAAAAAUUGUCAUGCCAGUUUACAGUUAAACAUUGCUGACUUGUAGUUUUAACAAAGCAAUUCAUAUUACUAUGAAUUGGAGAUGGCAAAGAUCUGCAUUAUGACUAAAUCUGUCCAUCUGCUGAGUUCUUAACUUCAGUUAUUCU
Molecule: long non-coding RNA, 526 nt
Filed under: Vulpes vulpes (red fox)
Lineage: Eukaryota; Metazoa; Chordata; Mammalia; Carnivora; Canidae
Description: lncRNA (ENSVVUG00000014113.1)
Source: RNAcentral